RNAcentral lists this ribosomal RNA (253 nucleotides) under uncultured bacterium. Its description in RNAcentral is "partial 16S ribosomal RNA". It matches the Rfam family "Bacterial small subunit ribosomal RNA", at positions 524 to 776 of the family's 1533-position model. The record is from RNAcentral.
UACGGAGGGUGCAAGCGUUAUCCGGAUUCACUGGGCUUAAAGGGUGCGUAGGCGGGCUUGUAAGUCAGUGGUGAAAGCCCGGAGCUUAACUCCGGAAUUGCCGUUGAUACUGCAAGUCUUGAGUACAGUUGAGGUGGGCGGAAUACAUCAUGUAGUAGUGAAAUACUUAGAUAUGAUGUAGAACACCGAUUGCGAAGGCAGCUCACUAAAGUGUAACUGACGCUGAGGCACGAAAGCGUGGGGAUCAAACAGG